Molecule: ribosomal RNA, 531 nt
Filed under: uncultured prokaryote
Description: bacterial SSU rRNA
Rfam family: Bacterial small subunit ribosomal RNA
Source: RNAcentral
AACACAUGCAAGUCGAACGGAGUUACUCUCCAGCUUGCUGGAGAACUAACUUAGUGGCGCACGGGUGAGUAACACGUGGGUAACCCUACCCGAAAGACUGGGAUAACACCCCGAAAGGGGUGCUAAUACCGGAUACCUUUAUAAGUUUGCAUGAACUUAUAAAGAAAGUUUUUUUCGCUUUCGGAUGGGCCCGCGUCCCAUUAGCUAGUUGGUGAGGUAACGGCUCACCAAGGCGACGAUGGGUAGCCGGCCUGAGAGGGUGGACGGCCACACUGGGACUGAGACACGGCCCAGACUCCUACGGGAGGCAGCAGUAGGGAAUAUUGCGCAAUGGACGGAAGUCUGACGCAGCGACGCCGCGUGAGCGAUGAAGGUCUUCGGAUCGUAAAGCUUUGGCCUUGGGGAAGAGGCGAAAGCUUGACGGUACCCAGAAGAAGCCCGGCUAACUACGUGCCAGCAGCCGCGGUAUACGUAGGGGCGAGCGUGUCCGAAUACUGGCGUAAGGGUGCGUAGCGGCCUUUAGCUGGAGUA